RNAcentral lists this non-coding RNA (31 nucleotides) under Homo sapiens (human). The record is from RNAcentral. Lineage: Eukaryota; Metazoa; Chordata; Mammalia; Primates; Hominidae.
AAACUGGUGGAGAUGUGAACUGAGGCAGUGU